This 99-nucleotide small nuclear RNA is filed under the name Peromyscus maniculatus bairdii (prairie deer mouse). Lineage: Eukaryota; Metazoa; Chordata; Mammalia; Rodentia; Cricetidae. The record is from RNAcentral.
GUGUUCACUUCAGCAGCAGAUACACUAAACUUGGAAUGAUAUAGAUUAGCAUGGCCACUGUACAAGGAUAUACAAAUUCAUGAAGCUAUCCAUGUUUUG